CCUACGGGAGGCAGCAGUGGGGAAUCUUGCGCAAUGGGCGAAAGCCUGACGCAGCAACGCCGCGUGCGGGAAGAAGGCUUUCGGGCUGUAAACCGCUUUCAGCAGGAACGAAAAUGACGGUACCUGCAGAAGAAGGAGCGGCCAACUAUGUGCCAGCAGCCGCGGUGAUACAUAGGCUUCAAGCGUUGUCCGGAUUUAUUGGGCGUAAAGAGUUCGUAGGCGGUCGAGUAAGUCGGGUGUGAAAAUUCUGGGCUCAACCCAGAGACGCCACCCGAUACUGCUUGACUUGAGUUCGAUAGGGGAGUGGGGAAUUCCUAGUGUAGCGGUGAAAUGCGCAGAUAUUAGGAGGAACACCGGUGGCGAAGGCGCCACUCUGGAUCGAUACUGACGCUGAGGAACGAAAGCAUGGGUAGCAAACAGGAUUAGAUACCCUGGUAGUCCAUGCCGUAAACGGUGGGCACUAGGUGUGGGUUUCUAUUAACGAAAUCCGCGCCGUCGCUAACGCAUUAAGUGCCCCGCCUGGGGGAGGUACGGUCGCAGACUAAACUACAAAGAAGUUAGACGGCGUGAGACGUGCCGAACGGACGACCGACGAGGGAGUAGG
RNAcentral lists this ribosomal RNA (604 nucleotides) under uncultured bacterium. Its description in RNAcentral is "bacterial SSU rRNA". It matches the Rfam family "Bacterial small subunit ribosomal RNA", at positions 338 to 1414 of the family's 1533-position model. The record is from RNAcentral.